Molecule: unclassified non-coding RNA, 378 nt
Filed under: uncultured Bacteroidales bacterium
Lineage: Bacteria; Pseudomonadati; Bacteroidota; Bacteroidia; Bacteroidales
Description: contains 16S-23S intergenic spacer region
Source: RNAcentral
UCACGGUUUACACCGGCAGUUUCGUUAGAGUUCCCGGCAUGACCCGCUGGCAACUAACGAUAAGGGUUGCGCUCGUUAUGGGACUUAACCCGACACCUCACGGCACGAGCUGACGACAACCAUGCAGCACCUUGCAAAGAGUCCCGAAGGAAAGAAGUAUUUCUACCUCAUGCACUCUACAUUUAAGCCCAGGUAAGGUUCCUCGCGUUGCGUCGAAUUAAACCACAUGCUCCACCGCUUGUGCGGGCCCCCGUCAAUUCCUUUGAGUUUCAACCUUGCGGCCGUACUCCCCAGGCGGGGCACUUAUUGCGUUAGCGACGGCACCGGGAGGGUCGCUCCCCCCGACGCCUAGUGCCCAUCGUUUACGGCGUGGACUAC